GUCCAUUUUAGGCAAAUUUUGUGUAGUGUAAUUCGGUCUUUAAAAGGAAAGGAAAUAGUAUAUGUAUCUUAGUUGAAAAUACAUGGAAAUCAACUAUUUUCCAUAACAGACCGAAUUUGCUAUAGCUGGCAAUGAAAGCUACGUAUUUACAAUGGAUUACAUUGUCUGCCUCGAUUUCAAGCUAUUGUUUCGUGUGCGCUCAAGCGAAUUCGGGAAGUGCCCUGCGAACGGGUAUACUCUGCCUGAUGAAAUUAGGGAAUCAUUACGGUCUGCGGAGGAGGAGGUGGGGUCUGUAUUGCCACUAUAUUGCCACUGCAUGUUUCCAUGCUAUAUGAAAAUAGUACCCACUAUGUAUGUAAGUUAUGAACUGGCAUCACAACAAUAUAGUAAUUCUAGGAAUUUCUUAUUUCAAAUAUUCAUGACAAUACUUAAUUACGAGUCCAAUAGUCUCAUCACAUAUUGGUAAAUUAUCAAUAACUCUGACUAAAUCGUUCGUUGGAAUGUUUAAUAACUAUUCAUCAGGAAAUGGUCUUUCUUCUAUUCUUUCAUAAAAUUCCUACCAUUCGUGAAAGUUCACUAAUGCCAAGUACAAAUUGGGUGAAUACAGGGAGUUGGUCGAGCUCUUCUCUUCCGUUCUUUCAUCAGAUUCUCUUCAUUCUUUCGUAUCUCUCUUGUUAAUACAUCAUCAUCCAAAUUUCCACCAUUCUUCUCUUCCUCACGGAGCCAUACCCAUCUUGGUCUCGCCAAACACAGAGUCACGGUAGAUAGCACAAGCAAAACGACCAAGAAAUUCUUAGAAAAUCCCAUGACUUCCGACUCAAGACUUGAUGCGACUUCGCGUGCAGGAGUUCAACUUCUCGAAACUUGAUGAUGUAGGAGUCUUUUUGAUCAACCAAUAUCGUUCACUUUCUAACACAAUGAUGAACUGAACAUUUGACCCGACUUUUAUAGCACAAUAUAGCACACCAGAUGUUCAUAUUUCUGCACCCGUUUGCUAUACCAACGCCAUAAGAUAACGGUUAAAAAGCAGUUGAAACCUGAAAAUAUUUCUCUUACUGAUUAGUUAAUUACUUCUUGAGACAUUCGUUUACUAGAAAUCGUCCUACUUUAGGGACUGGUUUAAGAAGACGCUCAAGUCUUACUUAGAAAGUUCCAUCUGCAAACCCAUAAAUAUAUAGGCUAUAGUUGUCGCUUUGGCCACUUGUGAGAAAACGCUUUGAAUGUUGCUAUAUUAUUUCCAUUUUGGACAAGAUGAGAAGCUCUUUGUAACAUUUGUUUCACUUAACGAUUUUUUAUUGCUGAUAUGAUCGAAAAGGAUAGACGCUUGUUUAUAAAUUUAAUUACUGAUAAUAUUUUGUAUGUAUAGGCUACUCAUGAUAAAAUGAUAAAAGAACGGCUGUAUUUAUAUACAAAACGAUCAAGAUAGAUAUAUUGCCUCCGCACGCAAAUAUACAAAUGGCUGAUCGUUCAAAUAUCAAUGCAAUAAUUCUUUUGACCAUUUUUAAACGGGCUAUAUUCCAUAAAAGCAGUCUCACGCCGGGACCAUGCAGUAAUGAUGAAGCAUCUGAGGGGAGGGGGGGGGGGGGGAGGGGUUCAACUCUAUUUCCCAGCCAAUAUUUUGCCUGAUUCCUUCCAUUCCCAGCAGCAAAAGUGCUGGUCCUUCACAUUGCAGCUGCUAUAUCGUCUCCAUACACCUACAAUGGCGCCGGCUGCUCGAAAUUUAGCUUUUAUAUUUAUACUCUUCGUGGGUCCCCUUUGCGGUAGCGAAAAUUAAAAAGCGCCUUAAUAUACGAUCGAAUUAUGUAUAGAAGUUCACACAAGUGUGGGGGAUAUAUGAAUAAAGACAUAUUUUUAAUUUUAGCUAACUGUUAUACCAAAUUAACUUGAGCGAAUGCAUAAUUCGUUUAUACAUACACAAGAUAACAAUGUG
Molecule: non-coding RNA, 1930 nt
Organism: Paramuricea clavata
Lineage: Eukaryota; Metazoa; Cnidaria; Anthozoa; Malacalcyonacea; Plexauridae
Source: the annotation of a GenBank genome assembly